ACAUAUAUAUUAGUUUUCAACAAGUCAGGAUUUUCAACAACUCUAAAAUUUCAAUUUUAUAUUCUGAACACACUUCAAAAUUAUCCACUUGAUGCAGGAUAUAACCAUAGGGAGAUAAAAAUUCAUGCAAUGAUACUCAGGUUUUUUUUUUAAAGGUAAAUCCAAUAUUUGAUCAUUCAAUGCUACAUAAAGUGCAUUGAAUAUCGAAAAUAAAACAAGCGCCAAUUUUAUCAUUAAUUAAUAACACAUUUAUUAUCUUGAAACCAAACUGGCCCAAGUUACUUUUUGUCUUUUUGAGUCAGCUCUGUAUAAACUCAUUUCUCUCAAGCUUCCUGGGAAAUAAAAACCAAGAUAUUUCAUUUAUUCUUUGCAGUUAACAAGAGAUGGCAGCGGGCUCAAGGUAGGUAUGUUCUUGAUAAUUCAGAGUCAGAA
Molecule: long non-coding RNA, 432 nt
Filed under: Homo sapiens (human)
Lineage: Eukaryota; Metazoa; Chordata; Mammalia; Primates; Hominidae
Description: HSALNT0151273
Source: RNAcentral